GCGCAGGGUUCUGCGGUUGCCCAUGAAGAGGGAGAAGCAUCUGUUGCCGUCCAUCGGGAAGGCGUUGAUGCGCAGGCUCAAAAGGAGGCGAGGUCACCGGCUCGGAAAGAAACUGAGCAGGAGGCUUGCUCGCAUGCUCGGCAGGAACG
RNAcentral lists this non-coding RNA (149 nucleotides) under Hemiselmis andersenii. The record is from RNAcentral. Lineage: Eukaryota; Cryptophyceae; Cryptomonadales; Hemiselmidaceae.